UUGCCAUAUUUGUCCUGCCGGGCCCCACCAAUGUCACCCCUAGAGGUUCCGAAGAGCUCACCUUAGCCCAUGCGGGAUUAGGAAAAAGAGUGUUGGCUGUUUCAGAUCAAAGCAGACAUGAACAGAUUGUCAGACAGAUGGAGGAGGAGUUUUUGAAACUCAAACCACUUAAUGGAAGAUGGAUGUUCCACAAAGCAGCAGGUGGAAGCGGCCAGAGAAGGUUGUCUGUGAUACCCAUGGAUGCAGAGGGUUAUAGUGGCCACCAACUUCGAUCUGCAUCAAAUAAUGGCAAAAUAGUUCUAUUCUUGGUGCCCCUCCAGGAGGAAAUUUUCACAGAGCCUCUCCCCUUUGAUGCUGCAGAAUUUUCAAGAAUGCCUCAGGUGCCAUGUGUUAAGUGCAACACAACCAUGCCGCUACAAAUGUUGGCACUGCACGCUGAAAAAUGCAAAGAAGUGUCAAAUGUAAGUUGUUUCCACUUUAAUGUUUUCAUGUUUUAUAUUAUUUGUUUGACAUCUUAUCUGACCAGAAAUGCCUAUGGAUAUAUAUAAACAUGCUAAGUGGGCUUAUAUGUCCACCAUGCAGUUUUUGGCAUCAUCACAAAAUGAUCUGAACAAAUUGUCAGAGGUUAACAUGCUUAAAAGCCGCUAGUCAGUCAUUGCAUUUUUCUGGGCUUUUGUGUCUCUUCGGC
Melanotaenia boesemani (Boeseman's rainbowfish) is the source of this 688-nucleotide long non-coding RNA. RefSeq lists it as uncharacterized. The record is from RefSeq and is a predicted model, not a curated record. NCBI's taxonomy places the organism in Eukaryota, Metazoa, Chordata, Actinopteri, Atheriniformes, Melanotaeniidae. The transcript is spliced from 4 exons.